CACGUAGGGGGCAAGCGUUGUCCGGAAUCAUUGGGCGUAAAGGGCGUCUAGGCGGUCAGAUAAGUGGGAUGUGAAAUGCCCCGGCUCACCCGGGGACCGGCAUCCCAAACUGUCUGGCUUGAGUAUGGGAGAGGAUGUGGGAAUUCCUGGUGUAGCGGUGAAAUGCGUAGAUAUCAGGAGGAACACCGGUGGCGAAGGCGCACAUCUGGCCCAAUACUGACGCUAAAGCGCGAAAGCUAGGGGAGCAAACGGG
This 253-nucleotide ribosomal RNA is filed under the name uncultured bacterium. Its description in RNAcentral is "partial 16S ribosomal RNA". It matches the Rfam family "Bacterial small subunit ribosomal RNA", at positions 524 to 776 of the family's 1533-position model. The record is from RNAcentral.